Molecule: ribosomal RNA, 446 nt
Filed under: uncultured bacterium
Lineage: Bacteria
Description: partial 16S ribosomal RNA
Rfam family: Bacterial small subunit ribosomal RNA
Source: RNAcentral
GUGAGGAAUAUUGGUCAAUGGGCGCAAGCCUGAACCAGCCAUCCCGCGUGCAGGAAGACGGCGCUAUGCGUUGUAAACUGCUUUUCCAGGGAGAGAAACUUGCGCACGUGUUGCGCAAUUGACGGUAUCCUGGGAAUAAGCAUCGGCUAACUCCGUGCCAGCAGCCGCGGUAAUACGGAGGAUGCGAGCGUUAUCCGGAUUCAUUGGGUUUAAAGGGUGCGUAGGCGGACUAUUAAGUCAGUGGUGAAAUCCUGCAGCUUAACUGCAGAACUGCCAUUGAUACUGAUAGCCUUGAGUUUGGUUAAGGUAGGCGGAAUGUGUAAUGUAGCGGUGAAAUGCUUAGAUAUUACACAGAACACCAAUUGCGUAGGCAGCUUACUGAGCCGACACUGACGCUGAGGCACGAAAGCGUGGGGAUCGAACAGGAUUAGAAACCCGUGUAGUCC